This 510-nucleotide ribosomal RNA is filed under the name uncultured Eubacteriales bacterium. RNAcentral's name for it is "bacterial SSU rRNA". It matches the Rfam family "Bacterial small subunit ribosomal RNA", at positions 15 to 507 of the family's 1533-position model. Lineage: Bacteria; Bacillati; Bacillota; Clostridia; Eubacteriales. The record is from RNAcentral.
UAUCCUGGCUCAGGACGAACGCUGGCGGCGUGCUUAACACAUGCAAGUCGAACGGAGUACCCUCGAAAGAGAUUUCGGUCAAUGGAGAGGACUACUUAGUGGCGGACGGGUGAGUAACGCGUGAGGAACCUGCCUUUCAGAGGGGGACAACAGUUGGAAACGACUGCUAAUACCGCAUAACGUACGGGUAUCGCAUGGUACUGGUACCAAAGAUUUAUCGCUGAGAGAUGGCCUCGCGUCUGAUUAGCUAGUUGGUAGGGUAACGGCCUACCAAGGCGACGAUCAGUAGCCGGACUGAGAGGUUGGCCGGCCACAUUGGGACUGAGAUAUGGCCCAGACUCCUACGGGAGGCAGCAGUGGGGAAUAUUGCACAAUGGGGGAAACCCUGAUGCAGCGACGCCGCGUGAGUGAAGAAGUAUUUCGGUAUGUAAAGCUCUAUCAGCAGGGAAGAAAUAGCGACCUUUGGGUCGCCAGACGGUACCUGACUAAGAAGCCCCGGCUAACUACGUG